RNAcentral lists this ribosomal RNA (301 nucleotides) under uncultured bacterium. RNAcentral's name for it is "partial 16S ribosomal RNA". It matches the Rfam family "Bacterial small subunit ribosomal RNA", at positions 509 to 809 of the family's 1533-position model. The record is from RNAcentral.
CAGCAGCCGCGGUAAAACGGAGGGUGCAAGCGUUAAUCGGAAUUACUGGGCGUAAAGCGCACGCAGGCGGUCUGACAAGUCAGAUGUGAAAUCCCCGGGCUUAACCUGGGAACUGCAUUUGAAACUGUCAGGCUGGAGUCUUGUAGAGGGGGGUGGAAUUCCAGGUGUAGCGGUGAAAUGCGUAGAGAUCUGGAGGAAUACCGGUGGCGAAGGCGGCCCCCUGGACAAAGACUGACGCUCAGGUGCGAAAGCGUGGGGAGCAAACAGGAUUAGAGACCCCUGUAGUCCCUGUCUCUUAUAU